RNAcentral lists this ribosomal RNA (433 nucleotides) under uncultured bacterium. Its description in RNAcentral is "partial 16S ribosomal RNA". It matches the Rfam family "Bacterial small subunit ribosomal RNA", at positions 29 to 507 of the family's 1533-position model. The record is from RNAcentral.
AACGAACGCUGGCGGCAUGCCUAACACAUGCAAGUCGAACGAGACCUUCGGGUCUAGUGGCGCAUGGGUGCGUAACGCGUGGGAAAAUGCCUUUAGGUUCGGAAUAACUCAGAGGAAUUUGAGCUAAUACCGGCUGAUGUAUUCGGACCAAAGAUUUAUCGCCUUUAGAUGGGCUUGCGUUGGAUUAGCUAGUUGGUGGGGUAAAGGCCUACCAAGGCGACGAUCCAUAGCUGGUCUGAGAGGAUGAUCAGCCACACUGGGACUGAGACACGGUCCAGACUCCUACGGGAGGCAGCAGUGGGGAAUAUUGGACAGUGGGCGAUAGCCUGAUCCAGCAAGGCCGCGUGAGUGAUGAAGGCCUUAGGGUUGUAAAGCUCGUUUACCCGAGAUGAUAAUGACAGUAUCGGGAGAAUAAGCUCCGGCUAACUCCGUG